RNAcentral lists this ribosomal RNA (279 nucleotides) under uncultured bacterium. RNAcentral describes it as "partial 16S ribosomal RNA". It matches the Rfam family "Bacterial small subunit ribosomal RNA", at positions 335 to 602 of the family's 1533-position model. The record is from RNAcentral.
ACUCCUACGGGAGGCAGCAGUGGGGAAUAUUGCACAAUGGGCGCAAGCCUGAUGCAGCCAUGCCGCGUGUGUGAAGAAGGCCUUCGGGUUGUAAAGCACUUUCAGUCGUGAGGAAGGUAGUGUAGUUAAUAGCUUGCUAUAUUUUGAACGUUAGCGACAGAAGAAGCACCGGCUAACUCCGUGCCAGCAGCCGCGGUAAUACGGAGGGUGCGAGCGUUAAUCGGAAUUACUGGGCGUAAAGCGCAUGCAGGUGGUUUGUUAAAGUCAGAUGUGAAAGCC